AAGAGGCGUAUGAACAACGAGAGCUGCUACCUCAAGAAACCGAGACUAAACUUCCCGGGCCUCUU
Molecule: transfer RNA, 65 nt
Filed under: Bipes biporus
Lineage: Eukaryota; Metazoa; Chordata; Lepidosauria; Squamata; Bipedidae
Description: tRNA-Ser
Source: RNAcentral